AUACAUAGGGGGCAAGCGUUAUCCGGAAUUACUGGGCGUAAAGGGUGCGUAGGUGGUUUCUUAAGUCAGAAGUGAAAGGCUACAGCUCAACCGUAGUAAGCUUUUGAAACUAAGAGACUUGAGUGCAGGAGAGGAGAGUAGAAUUCCUAGUGUAGCGGUGAAAUGCGUAGAUAUUAGGAGGAAUACCAGUUGCGAAGGCGGCUCUCUGGACUGUAACUGACACUGAGGCACGAAAGCGUGGGGAGCAAACAGGAUUAGAUACCCUGGUAGUCCACGCCGUAAACGAUGAGUACUAGCUGUCGGGGGUUACCCCCCUCGGUGGCGCAGCUAACGCAUUAAGUACUCCGCCUGGGAAGUACGCUCGCAAGAGUGAAACUCAAAUGAAUUGGCGGGG
RNAcentral lists this ribosomal RNA (394 nucleotides) under uncultured bacterium. Its description in RNAcentral is "partial 16S ribosomal RNA". It matches the Rfam family "Bacterial small subunit ribosomal RNA", at positions 523 to 918 of the family's 1533-position model. The record is from RNAcentral.